RNAcentral lists this ribosomal RNA (776 nucleotides) under uncultured Neocallimastigales. RNAcentral describes it as "partial large subunit ribosomal RNA". It matches the Rfam family "Eukaryotic large subunit ribosomal RNA", at positions 24 to 616 of the family's 3401-position model. The record is from RNAcentral. Lineage: Eukaryota; Fungi; Neocallimastigomycota; Neocallimastigomycetes; Neocallimastigales.
GUAGUCUCGCACAGAUGCAUAUCAAUAAGCGGAGGAAAAGAAACUAACAAGGAUUCCCUUAGUAACGGCGAGUGAAGCGGGAAGAGCUCAAAUUUGAAAUCUUCAAGGUUUUACCUUGACGAAUUGUAGUUUAAAGAAGUGUUUUCUGUUGAAGUUUUGGUAAAAGUUCUUUGGAAUAGGACAUCAUAGAGGGUGAGAAUCCCGUAUUUGACCAUUAUUUUCAGCUGUGUGAUACACUUUCAAAGAGUCGGAUUGUUUGGGAAUGCAGUCCAAAAUGGGUGGUAAACUUCAUCUAAAGCUAAAUAUUGGCGAGAGACCGAUAGCGAACAAGCUACCGUGAGGGAAAGAUGAAAAGAACUUUGAAAAGAGAGUUAAACAGGUACGUGAAAUUGUCAAAAGGGAAGCGUUUGACACCAGUGUUGUUUUCUCGAAAAUCAAUUAAAAAGAGUUAGAUUUUGUUGUGUAUUGACCUUAACAGCUUGCAUUUCAAUUUUCUUGCUUUUUUUAAUGCACUUUUCGUUUAACAAGUCAACAUCAGUUUCUUUUGUUGUAAAAAGGUCAUUGGAAGGUGGCUUUCUUUUCGGAGAAAGUGUUUAUAGCCUUUGACUCCUGCAAUCGGAGAGACUGAGGUCUGCAGCGUAGAUCCUUCGGGGUUAGAUACAUUUGUGCUAAGUUAUAGCUUUUUAUAGACAACUUGUUGACUAUGAUUAGUCUUGUAGCUUACUCGCUUAUGCUAUUUUACCUACGCUUAGGAUGUUGAGCGCAUGUCUCUCUCU